AAAUUGAAGAGUUUGAUCAUGGCUCAGAUUGAACGCUGGCGGCAGGCCUAACACAUGCAAGUCGAACGGUAACAGGAAGCAGCUUGCUGCUUCGCUGACGAGUGGCGGACGGGUGAGUAAUGUCUGGGAAACUGCCUGAUGGAGGGGGAUAACUACUGGAAACGGUGGCUAAUACCGCAUAACGUCGCAAGACCAAAGAGGGGGACCUUCGGGCCUCUUGCCAUCAGAUGUGCCCAGAUGGGAUUAGCUUGUUGGUGAGGUAACGGCUCACCAAGGCGACGAUCCCUAGCUGGUCUGAGAGGAUGACCAGCCACACUGGAACUGAGACACGGUCCAGACUCCUACGGGAGGCAGCAGUGGGGAAUAUUGCACAAUGGGCGCAAGCCUGAUGCAGCCAUGCCGCGUGUAUGAAGAAGGCCUUCGGGUUGUAAAGUACUUUCAGCGGGGAGGAAGGUGUUGCGGUU
RNAcentral lists this ribosomal RNA (464 nucleotides) under Salmonella enterica. Its description in RNAcentral is "bacterial SSU rRNA". It matches the Rfam family "Bacterial small subunit ribosomal RNA", at positions 1 to 461 of the family's 1533-position model. Lineage: Bacteria; Pseudomonadati; Pseudomonadota; Gammaproteobacteria; Enterobacterales; Enterobacteriaceae. The record is from RNAcentral.